GGGUUGUGAGGUUAAGCGACUAAGCGUACACGGUGGAUGCCCUGGCAGUCAGAGGCGAUGAAGGACGUGCUAAUCUGCGAUAAGCGUCGGUAAGGUGAUAUGAACCGUUAUAACCGGCGAUUUCCGAAUGGGGAAACCCAGUGUGAUUCGUCACACUAUCAUUAACUGAAUCCAUAGGUUAAUGAGGCGAACCGGGGGAACUGAAACAUCUAAGUACCCCGAGGAAAAGAAAUCAACCGAGAUUCCCCCAGUAGCGGCGAGCGAACGGGGAGCAGCCCAGAGCCUGAAUCAGUGUGUGUGUUAGUGGAAGCGUCUGGAAAGGCGUGCGAUACAGGGUGACAGCCCCGUACACAAAAAUGCACAUACUGUGAGCUCGAUGAGUAGGGCGGGACACGUGGUAUCCUGUCUGAAUAUGGGGGGACCAUCCUCCAAGGCUAAAUACUCCUGACUGACCGAUAGUGAACCAGUACCGUGAGGGAAAGGCGAAAAGAACCCCGGCGAGGGGAGUGAAAAAGAACCUGAAACCGUGUACGUACAAGCAGUGGGAGCACGCUUAGGCGUGUGACUGCGUACCUUUUGUAUAAUGGGUCAGCGACUUAUAUUCUGUAGCAAGGUUAACCGAAUAGGGGAGCCGAAGGGAAACCGAGUCUUAACUGGGCGUUAAGUUGCAGGGUAUAGACCCGAAACCCGGUGAUCUAGCCAUGGGCAGGUUGAAGGUUGGGUAACACUAACUGGAGGACCGAACCGACUAAUGUUGAAAAAUUAGCGGAUGACUUGUGGCUGGGGGUGAAAGGCCAAUCAAACCGGGAGAUAGCUGGUUCUCCCCGAAAGCUAUUUAGGUAGCGCCUCGUGAAUUCAUCUCCGGGGGUAGAGCACUGUUUCGGCAAGGGGGUCAUCCCGACUUACCAACCCGAUGCAAACUGCGAAUACCGGAGAAUGUUAUCACGGGAGACACACGGCGGGUGCUAACGUCCGUCGUGAAGAGGGAAACAACCCAGACCGCCAGCUAAGGUCCCAAAGUCAUGGUUAAGUGGGAAACGAUGUGGGAAGGCCCAGACAGCCAGGAUGUUGGCUUAGAAGCAGCCAUCAUUUAAAGAAAGCGUAAUAGCUCACUGGUCGAGUCGGCCUGCGCGGAAGAUGUAACGGGGCUAAACCAUGCACCGAAGCUGCGGCAGCGACGCUUAUGCGUUGUUGGGUAGGGGAGCGUUCUGUAAGCCUGCGAAGGUGUGCUGUGAGGCAUGCUGGAGGUAUCAGAAGUGCGAAUGCUGACAUAAGUAACGAUAAAGCGGGUGAAAAGCCCGCUCGCCGGAAGACCAAGGGUUCCUGUCCAACGUUAAUCGGGGCAGGGUGAGUCGACCCCUAAGGCGAGGCCGAAAGGCGUAGUCGAUGGGAAACAGGUUAAUAUUCCUGUACUUGGUGUUACUGCGAAGGGGGGACGGAGAAGGCUAUGUUGGCCGGGCGACGGUUGUCCCGGUUUAAGCGUGUAGGCUGGUUUUCCAGGCAAAUCCGGAAAAUCAAGGCUGAGGCGUGAUGACGAGGCACUACGGUGCUGAAGCAACAAAUGCCCUGCUUCCAGGAAAAGCCUCUAAGCAUCAGGUAACAUCAAAUCGUACCCCAAACCGACACAGGUGGUCAGGUAGAGAAUACCAAGGCGCUUGAGAGAACUCGGGUGAAGGAACUAGGCAAAAUGGUGCCGUAACUUCGGGAGAAGGCACGCUGAUAUGUAGGUGAAGCGACUUGCUCGUGGAGCUGAAAUCAGUCGAAGAUACCAGCUGGCUGCAACUGUUUAUUAAAAACACAGCACUGUGCAAACACGAAAGUGGACGUAUACGGUGUGACGCCUGCCCGGUGCCGGAAGGUUAAUUGAUGGGGUCAGCGCAAGCGAAGCUCUUGAUCGAAGCCCCGGUAAACGGCGGCCGUAACUAUAACGGUCCUAAGGUAGCGAAAUUCCUUGUCGGGUAAGUUCCGACCUGCACGAAUGGCGUAAUGAUGGCCAGGCUGUCUCCACCCGAGACUCAGUGAAAUUGAACUCGCUGUGAAGAUGCAGUGUACCCGCGGCAAGACGGAAAGACCCCGUGAACCUUUACUAUAGCUUGACACUGAACAUUGAGCCUUGAUGUGUAGGAUAGGUGGGAGGCUUUGAAGUGUGGACGCCAGUCUGCAUGGAGCCGACCUUGAAAUACCACCCUUUAAUGUUUGAUGUUCUAACGUGGACCCGUAAUCCGGGUUGCGGACAGUGUCUGGUGGGUAGUUUGACUGGGGCGGUCUCCUCCUAAAGAGUAACGGAGGAGCACGAAGGUUGGCUAAUCCUGGUCGGACAUCAGGAGGUUAGUGCAAUGGCAUAAGCCAGCUUGACUGCGAGCGUGACGGCGCGAGCAGGUGCGAAAGCAGGUCAUAGUGAUCCGGUGGUUCUGAAUGGAAGGGCCAUCGCUCAACGGAUAAAAGGUACUCCGGGGAUAACAGGCUGAUACCGCCCAAGAGUUCAUAUCGACGGCGGUGUUUGGCACCUCGAUGUCGGCUCAUCACAUCCUGGGGCUGAAGUAGGUCCCAAGGGUAUGGCUGUUCGCCAUUUAAAGUGGUACGCGAGCUGGGUUUAGAACGUCGUGAGACAGUUCGGUCCCUAUCUGCCGUGGGCGCUGGAGAACUGAGGGGGGCUGCUCCUAGUACGAGAGGACCGGAGUGGACGCAUCACUGGUGUUCGGGUUGUCAUGCCAAUGGCACUGCCCGGUAGCUAAAUGCGGAAGAGAUAAGUGCUGAAAGCAUCUAAGCACGAAACUUGCCCCGAGAUGAGUUCUCCCUGACUCCUUGAGAGUCCUGAAGGAACGUUGAAGACGACGACGUUGAUAGGCCGGGUGUGUAAGCGCAGCGAUGCGUUGAGCUAACCGGUACUAAUGAACCGUGAGGCUUAACCUUACAACGCCGAAGGUGUUU
Molecule: ribosomal RNA, 2931 nt
Filed under: Escherichia coli
Lineage: Bacteria; Pseudomonadati; Pseudomonadota; Gammaproteobacteria; Enterobacterales; Enterobacteriaceae
Description: 23S ribosomal RNA
Rfam family: Bacterial large subunit ribosomal RNA
Source: RNAcentral